Molecule: long non-coding RNA, 2061 nt
Organism: Dendroctonus ponderosae (mountain pine beetle)
Lineage: Eukaryota; Metazoa; Arthropoda; Insecta; Coleoptera; Curculionidae
Exons: 2
Source: RefSeq, a predicted model, not a curated record
AAAAUUAUCGGUAAUUUUGAAGCACUUGUGCAAUUACCCCCGAUAAUUUCCGUAUACAAUGUUAUCGCAAUUGUAAUUUUCAGUAUAUUUAUUCUGUGCAUAAAUACUAUUCGAGGCAGCAAUAUUUGUCUUAGUUUUAGUGCUAUUUAAGAGCUCGGAGCGGUACUAUUUAAGAGAAAUAAAUACUUUUUGUCAGAGCUCCUAUGAAAGAAAUAUCUUGCUAAGCGUAUCUGUAUAUUCAGAUUAAUAUUUUGUUAAUUCAACUUGCCAAACAGCUGGAAAUUGGCAGAAAUCAUCAUGAUCUGUAAAACGGGGAUUAUAUUAAAGCCCUAUAAAUCUUAUAAGCCUAUAAUCAACGGUAUUUGAAAAUAUUAAAAACCAUACUGAAUGAUAAUAACAUUAUACCAUAAGAUCACUUCACGGCACUACAGAAUACAUAGAAUUGUAAACAAGGUAAAUCAACCUUUCGAUAGUAAGAGCUACUGUUCAGCUAUACUCUUCAACAUUUUAGAAGCCUUUGAUAAGAUACUUAUAUUGCUCAAAUUCCAUCCAUCUUCAUAACAGACAGUUUCUUUUCUCUUAAUGGAAGUAUUUAAGAAAAGUACUGGAUUAUGGUGGGAAGAUUCAGGUUUACCGGCCAUUCUCUUAAUGUCUUCUUUGAAGAAAGUACUUUUUUAUUAGAUUGUAAAAAUUGCAUUUUUAUUUACCUAGCAAAAAAUAUUUGUGUAAUAAUUUCUGAUCGGCACAUUUUGUUAUAGCUUUUUUCUGGGCCCUCAUUUCAUAAACGUGGAUUUUUUAAAUAAUUAUUUAUGUUUAUAGUGCCCCCUAUAACCUCUUUAUCAUAUUAUAGAAGUUAAUAAAAGUAUUUCAUGUUUUUGGUAAUUACUGCGCUUUCGAACGUGCGAGAAUUGAUAAUAAAAAUGAUAAGUAAUCCAUCAAAGUGGACUGAUGAGUUGUUCGGAGAACUGCUGUUAUGUUGAAACACAUUUUGAUAAAAAUGUUUUUGGUUGGUUUCUGGGUUGAUACACAUCAUGACCAGUAUACAAGAGACCUGACAUAUAUUUAGACAUCAUACAGGGUUGAUAAAUACGGAAAACGGGACUUUGGACAAUUCUAAAAAUCAGAUUUUCGUAAUCUGGCAAUUAAGUAUUUACAGUAAUGUAUUGCUGCCGCUUAUACCAUAAAGUAGCAUCUGCAUUGUUAUCUCAAUGAGAUACAGAGAAGAAAAGUUUGUUUUGCAUUUUAAAGGGUUGAGUGAAGUUAAUGGUUUUCCGAUAAAAAUUAUUUUAAAUAGAACACCCAAAUAAGAGUAAGUAGUGCUAAGACUGAACUGACUUUAAUUCAGCAAUUUUUUAUGAGAAAUGUGAUUAAAUUUCCGACAAGUUAGAAUGUUAAAUUAAAAUUUCAAAUUAAGAAAUGGACAAAAACUGCGUUGGUAUUUUAUCUUUUCGCUUAAGGUGUACUCGAAGUUUUUCUACCCCUGAUAAAAUAUAGUACAUUUUUUUAAUUACGAAUUACAUUUGCCCCCCGGCCAUACCCACCUUACCACUACACUUUUAACUUUACCGGAUCAGCUUGCAAUCAAUAGUAGCAAUUGUUUUAUGCAAUUUUUACGAAACUUUGCACUUGUUAGUAAUUCAGUCGCAUUUCGCAUAAACGCUAAUUUAGCAUUACCGUUUACGUCUAUAAUUGAAAUAUAUUGAAACCUUCAAAUGUCCAAAGUCUAAUGUACCUAUGCUUAAUUGUGCCGGCAAAGACCGUUUAUAGUAUCGCAAAUAACUUGCUAGUAAUUUAGAAAGUUCAUUUAAUGCAUUGUGCUUCAGCUUCAAUAGUUCAUUUAUUCUAUUUUUUUCAGUUUUUAAGUAACUUUAAGUAAAUAACUUUUAAGUUUCAGCAACUAUCCCUUGAAGAAUGGCGAUACAAACUUUCGGAUUUUUUUUUUAAUUCAAAUCGGAUUAUUUAUUCUAAGUAGUAAAUUUUUAGCAAAGCUUACCAUUUAAGAUUACUUUAACUAUAACAGUUGGACAGAAACUAAUCGAUAUUAAAUAAGUUCUUAUUAAA